Molecule: long non-coding RNA, 798 nt
Organism: Papaver somniferum (opium poppy)
Lineage: Eukaryota; Viridiplantae; Streptophyta; Magnoliopsida; Ranunculales; Papaveraceae
Exons: 4
Source: RefSeq, a predicted model, not a curated record
GAGAGCAGCCCUCGACUGAAAACGCUAAGGUUUUGGUGUACCGCCGUACUUUCGUGUACCGCCGUACCUUUCGUACCCCAAACUUACUUUUCCAACCAACGGUUUUUUCAUCAGCCAUUGGAUUGUCUGCGUCUAUAACCACAACCGUUCAGUUUUUUUUUGUUUUCUUUCUCUUCCUCGGUUAGGUAUCCUAAUUUUCUCUCCAUUCGUUCUCUUCCUGCUUGCCUCUCUUUCUCUUCUGAACAACUAAAAGCGAUCGCUGUAAUUGAAUCUUCACCCAGAUUUCAAGAAAUUUGCAGACAAUCAAUGAGGGAGAUAAAGAACUACUGUGGUUGUUUUUCACUUCCUCGAUUAGUCCAAGGAAUGAGGCGAAACAUGUAACUGUUAUGGAAGCAGUCACAUCAAUUCAACCAAAUAGAAACCUAGAUUCACGCUCUCUUUUUGGCAGCAAGAAAAUCACAAGUCAGAAAUUCUGGAGACCCCCACAGUUAUAGUACAAGUUCAUAGUGAUUUUUUCUUGGACAAAAGAUAGAAAUAUACUGAAGAAUAAGCCUACAGAAAGUAAGCAAAUUACAGAAAGGAGUUAGCUACAGAACAGCCUCAAGAGUCAAGACCCAACAAAAACCAAAAACGUUUACAAUUCAGAUGGAGUGUUGUAUAACUUGUAUAGGAACACUUGAUAACAAAGGAUCUCAGUCCCAAAUGUGUUUUUCUGGAGUGGUAUAUUUUUGAUUUUUUUUCUAACUGAAAUUGUUUGAAUAUACAUUAUAAUAUAUAUAUAUAUAUCUUUCAAAAAUG